Molecule: long non-coding RNA, 329 nt
Filed under: Gallus gallus (chicken)
Lineage: Eukaryota; Metazoa; Chordata; Aves; Galliformes; Phasianidae
Source: RNAcentral
UGUUCUCCCUGCUUGACCCAUCCCACUGCGUUUCUGACUGCACUUGGACAUGGUGAAGAUUGGUAGCAUUGAGCUCAGAUCCCAGUCAAGAAAUUUGAAAUUGGAUUUGAGGGAAAGAAAACAAAAACAAAAUGCAAUCAACAGGGACAGGGAAGAAAAGAGUUGCUGAAGAGUGUGAGCCUCCAGAAGCUGGAAUAGGAAAGAACAGAACCAUUCAAGCAUCCCCUGGUAUGGUGUUCCUUCCUCAAGUCCCUGCAAUUGGUCUGGUCCUGCGUCUCACUAAGCACACCCUUCUUGUGCCAUCUCUCAGGAUCUCUGCCUAAUUGAAG